RNAcentral lists this ribosomal RNA (468 nucleotides) under uncultured bacterium. Its description in RNAcentral is "partial 16S ribosomal RNA". It matches the Rfam family "Bacterial small subunit ribosomal RNA", at positions 28 to 507 of the family's 1533-position model. The record is from RNAcentral.
GACGAACGCUGGCGGCGUGCUUAACACAUGCAAGUCGAACGGAAAGGCCCUGCUUUUGUGGGGUGCUCGAGUGGCGAACGGGUGAGUAACACGUGAGUAACCUGCCCUUGACUUUGGGAUAACUUCAGGAAACUGGGGCUAAUACCGGAUAGGAGCUCCUGCUGCAUGGUGGGGGUUGGAAAGUUUCGGCGGUUGGGGCUGGACUCGCGGCUUAUCAGCUUGUUGGUGGGGUAGUGGCUUACCAAGGCUUUGACGGGUAGCCGGCCUGAGAGGGUGACCGGCCACAUUGGGACUGAGAUACGGCCCAGACUCCUACGGGAGGCAGCAGUGGGGAAUAUUGCACAAUGGGCGGAAGCCUGAUGCAGCAACGCCGCGUGCGGGAUGACGGCCUUCGGGUUGGAAACCGCUUUCGCCUGUGACGAAGCGUGAGUGACGGUAAUGGGUAAAGAAGCACCGGCUAACUACGUG